GCCUUUGUGGUGUAGUGGUCAGCACACUCGGCGCGAAUUCGAGAGAUCCGUGGUUCGAGUCCCGCGAGGGCA
This 72-nucleotide transfer RNA is filed under the name Stegodyphus mimosarum. It matches the Rfam family "tRNA". From Rfam's summary of the family: Transfer RNA (tRNA) molecules are approximately 80 nucleotides in length. Their secondary structure includes four short double-helical elements and three loops (D, anti-codon, and T loops). The record is from Rfam by way of RNAcentral. Lineage: Eukaryota; Metazoa; Arthropoda; Arachnida; Araneae; Eresidae.